GCCCCGGUAGCUCAGUUGGCAGAGCAGUGGGCUUUUAACCCAUGUGUCGGGGGUUCGAGACCCUCCCGGGGCA
Molecule: transfer RNA, 73 nt
Filed under: bacterium
Lineage: Bacteria
Also listed under: 2 other names
Description: tRNA-Lys
Rfam family: tRNA
About the family: Transfer RNA (tRNA) molecules are approximately 80 nucleotides in length. Their secondary structure includes four short double-helical elements and three loops (D, anti-codon, and T loops).
Source: RNAcentral